Long non-coding RNA from Capsella rubella, 458 nucleotides. RefSeq lists it as uncharacterized. The transcript has 3 exons. Lineage: Eukaryota; Viridiplantae; Streptophyta; Magnoliopsida; Brassicales; Brassicaceae. The record is from RefSeq and is a predicted model, not a curated record.
CUUCUUCGAAACCCUAAAACCAAAACUAAGUCAAUCUCCUUUGUUCAUUCUAUGAUUCAUCUUCCAUGAAAAAGUUUCUACUUUUAGAUUUCCUCUCGAUCGAUUUGUUGUUGUGACUUGUGAGAUACGGUUUCUAUGAUCUAGGGUUAGAUAUGAAGCAGAGCGAUCAAACGUGGCUGUCGAAGCUUUUGGUUCCUCUUCUUCUUCUUCUUCGUCUCUCUCUCUCUCUCUCUCUCUCUCUCUGUUUUGGUUACUCUUCGUGUUCAUGGUGGUGCUCUUGCUUCCUCUUUCUCCUUCAAGGUCACUAUGAUGUUCUCUCUUACUAUGAAGAUUUGAUCAAUAGAACUUCCUCACAGUUAUCAAAAAGAAGAAGGAUCAUGUAGCAUCAGACCAUUACAACAUUUAUAACUGAGGGUGAAUACUCAUCAAGGUUCGAUGGUACUUCAGAUUUCACUGGU